Molecule: unclassified non-coding RNA, 7472 nt
Filed under: Venturia canescens
Lineage: Eukaryota; Metazoa; Arthropoda; Insecta; Hymenoptera; Ichneumonidae
Description: amyloid beta A4 precursor protein-binding family B member 1-interacting protein, transcript variant X4
Source: RNAcentral
UUAGAUUUAGCCGACAGCCGGCAGGCGUUUCAAAUCCGACCGGAAAUCGAUGCGGGAUUCCAGUGGAACUUGAAGCUCGUCAUCGAAUAAAAUACUGAUUUCCGCAUCGACCACCCGACUCCAGUGGACACCUUGGGACAGUUCAGUGCGCAACUUGGAACAAAAAUCAUUGACAAUGCUUUGUGGCUCGUUUAGAAAGAAAAGAAGGCAUCCGGGCGACGAGUACCGUCUCGUGAGAUCAAACGCGUUUUCACCGAGGGUGUUGACAUGCAAAGAGAGCGGCCAGAUAUCCACCCGGAGUAGACCGAAGUCUUCCUCCUCAAUAACCGCAGCUCGUUCGUCCCUCAUCAAAGAUCUUCUGCAAACGGGUCUGGACAACGUGAGCUCAGCAACCCUCAGGCCUUUCAAUUCCGAUAUCAACACACCAAGGAUCGAUUCCUACAGGUUUUCUAUGGCGAAUCUCGAGGAUUCACAGGAUGUCGAUCUUGAUGCGAUACUUGGCGAAUUGUGCGCCCUCGAAAGGCGUUGCGACGGUGAUAUCGCCUCGACCGGACAAGCACCGGAUUCACAGAGAACAGGGAGGCCCAACAGUGCUAGAAUUAACGCUGGCGAUAGCACAGAUAUUGGGAAAAAUGACGGAGGGAUGCGAACGGACAGUCCGGACAAUGACAGUGCCUUUUCGGACACGGUGUCAAUGUUGUCCAGCGAGAGUUCAGCGAGUAGCAGUGGUUCGGGACACAAACCACCUCAGACCGCCAUGCACACGGUCCCUCAGCAGCAAUCUCACCAGCUCAUGGAUGCUGCCGGUAGAGCAAAAGCUGAAAAAAUUCGUCUCGCUCUGGAAAAAAUGCGCGAGGCUAGUGUCCAAAAACUCUUCAUCAAGGCUUUCACACUUGACGGCAGUGGUAAGAGUCUUCUCGUCGACGAAGGUAUGAGCGUUGCCCACGUAUGUCGGCUGCUAGCUGACAAAAAUCACGUCGCGAUGGAUCCCAAGUGGGCCGUUGUCGAGCAUCUACCCGAUCUAUUUAUGGAGAGGGUAUACGAGGACCACGAGCUCUUGGUUGAGAAUCUUCUUUUGUGGACGAGAGACUCGAAGAACAAAUUGCUUUUUGUCGAGAGACCGGACAAGACCCAGCUUUUCCUUACUCCUGAGAAAUACCUGCUCGGGUCAACGGACAGGACUAAUACCGAGUACGACGACCACUCGAGAAACAUACUUCUAGAAGAAUUCUUCUCGAGCAGCAACGUCGGUGUGCCUGAGGUUGAAGGACCCCUGUACCUAAAGUCAGACGGGAAAAAGGGUUGGAAAAAGUAUCACUUCAUACUGCGUGCCUCGGGGCUUUAUUACUGGCCAAAGGAGAAGGCACGAACAGCCCGAGAUCUCGUGUGUCUAGCAACGUUCGACGUUAACCAAGUAUAUCACGGGGUUGGUUGGAAGAAAAAAUACAAAGCACCGACGGACUGUUGUUUCGCGGUGAAGCAUCCGCGUCUGCAGCAGCCGAAAUCGACCAAGUAUAUAAAAUUUUUAUGUGCGGAGGAUAGCAAUUCGCUGGACAGAUGGAUGGCGGGAAUCAGGGUAGCAAAAUACGGUAGGCAAUUGAUGGAGAAUUAUCGUACUCUCGUCGACGAGUUAGCCCAAGAGGAUCUCGAUUUGUUGGCACACGCGAGAUCGUGCUCGGUGAGCUCGAUAGCCGUGCCACCAACUUCGCAAACGCAGUACAACACGACUAGCGAGAAUGCGAGACAGUACGCGGAAAUGAAUAGACACAAUGGUACGACAGAGAUGAACGGGAGGCAGUACGAGAGUCAACGACAGAGUUACAACAGUGCGGAGCAGCGACAGAGCUACAGCAACGACGGGAGACUCAGCAGAGCGAGUAGUUCGAGUUCCAGCGGCUGUUUGUCGGACGGUGCGCCUAGCAGCUGCGAAGUUGCCUUCGAAUGCGGUGAAUUUCCAACCGGCACGAUAAAGCGCAAGCCAUCGAUGAAUCCGAAGCUUCCGUUAACUUCGAUAACGAGACAGCUUAAAGAAGUCGGUGAAACGGUACGAGACGAGCCGGAUUCCUGUCCAAGUCCAACGAGCUCCGGAUCGGGUACACUCACCAGGCGACAUAGUCGCCGGAGAAGCGGCACGGACUCGGACAGCUCAGGCACCUUGAAGAGGCACCACAGGUCGGGAAAUGCCACACCCGUGAGUCCGGUACCACCGGGUACACCGGUCAGAGAAAGAGUCAGUCCGAUGGGCUACAGCAGAACGGAAAGCCAAGAACCCAAAACGCCAACGAGCCCAGUGCAGCCGUGCAUGAUGGACUCCAUCACCUCGUUGCCGCCACCACCCUCGCCACCUCGUGUCACCGAGGAAACAGAAUCCGAUGGCGAACCUCUGCCCCCACCUCCGCCCGAGAUGUUCAGAUCUAAUCUGUCCCUGGACUCCCUUCCACCACCACCCGCACCCGGUGAAUUGUCGAUGUGCAACACGACCGAUCUCAGUGGUUCCUGUCUCAGUUUAGCUUCGUUACCACCGCCGCCGAGUCCACUGGUCGGUGAAACCGGAACCAUCAGGCGGGCGAGGCCCAAACAAUCGACUCCCACGAAUUCCAUGUCACCCGAAUCCACCCCAACUCACACACCCGUCAAAACUAAUACGAACAAUCAGAUUUACGCGUGUUCCAAUGCAACGAACGGCUCACAGAGUCCAAACGUCGCACUACAAAACAAUCAAAUAUACACGAACAACAUGAGAAACUCCACGUCACCCCACAACUCGUAUCCAGGCUCGAACGCCAGUACGCCAACGUGCGCACCGAGCUCCCCCAACUUCGUGACGCCACCGCCGUUCGUACCACCGCCAGCUUACGGCACCCAACAGCAUCAACAGUUGCAAGCACAACAAUCCCAACAAAAUACUAAUCCUCAGCUAGUCCGACAAAAUUCGAAGAACGAACCGAUCUACGGCGGCCAAUCGAUACGCGCCAAUCCUAACAUGGAUACGGUCAGAAGAAGCGCACUGAAGCAGAACUCGGGUCAUUACGCGGCACCUCCCUACCUCGCCGAGUUGAAGGCAACCGCGAGUCCCCAGCCCCAGCGGAGGGUCACCAUCCAAGAACCACCAACUUCCCCGAAAUCGAAAACCGGCACAGGGAAAAAGAUUUCUUUCAACUUACCGCCCCAACAGGAACCCGGAAGUCCCGCUCUCCCACAGAGGAAACCGAUGCCACCCAGACGCUCGGACAGCACGAGGCUAACCUCGCCCAAAAAAUUAGCUGCUUCGGAGCAGGCUCCUCCAGGUGACUUUCUCAAGGACCUCCAACGAGUCAUGAGAAAAAAAUGGCAGGUUGCGCAAAAGUGCAAACUCGACUCGACCACGACGCCUCACGAAGUUUUGGGCUUCCGGGAUCCACCACCAGCCAUUGCCGAUUAUCGGGAAACCAACGUUUCCAACUGGGUACAAGAGCACUACGGCUCGGACAACCUUUACGAAAACGUUUACGCUACGGAUCCUAACGCACCUGUCGAAUACGCAACGAGCCCAACGCGCCAAAACUCCGUCAGAUUCGCCGAUGAAAAUUGUAGUAUGAACAUUGCUAAUGCUAUUGCGAGCAAACGGAGACCCCCGCCGCCGCCGCCAAAAAGAGCUGAAACUACACACUUGACGACGCGAGCGAUGCACUGACAAUAGCAGAUAAUUCAGCCUCCUACCGAAAGACGAUGGUACUGCUGUUUCUGUGGAUGGUGGAAGUAACGAAGGAUUCAAAAGGGAGAGGGGAAUAAAGGGGCAAUAGUGCUUCGAUUUGAUCUCGUCCGUCGGUUAAUGCGAAAAUAAACACCCGGAGUGAAAUUCGAUUCUGGGUUCAUUAAUGGCCAACCAAUUUUAGAGGACUCGGACAAGAACGUCGUAAAACUCUGAUACGAUUCUUCGCUUAUUUCUACUCCGGUGACGGAAUCGUGAUUUUUAUUCACGUUUAUUCACCUUUUUUCGGCUUUUAUCACUCGUAACAUUUAUCGUGUUAUGGGUGUUGAGAUUUUGGUGCGUUUGAGUCGAAGCACCGCGACACCUUAUGGUAUCACUGUCCAUGUCUGUGUUUGUCGAUCGUACGAAAUAUAUAUUGCCGUAAAUUAAGGAAGCGUCAGCGGAUGGAAUACCAGGUCGAACGUGUAUUGAGCCUUGAAAAAUUCAUUACUCCUACCACAUGAUGUUGAAUGAAAAUCAUUACCGAUCAAUACAUGCAACAACGAGCUCCUCAUCACGCAAAUAAUCAACGAAAAACUCCAAGUGCAUUUUUCCAGUGGUUGCAGUAUUUUUUCGACUUCGAUGAAAAAAAAAGUAACCAUUUUAUCAAUCGCAGAUGGAAUCAAACGACGGUUAAGCAUUUCUUAGUGACGACAUCUAUUUGUCUACGAAGUAAAAUCAUUUUGUAAGCUUGAUAAUACAAACUUUGAGAAGUCGUUUUACAAGAUAAAAUUUAUAGCAUUAUAAACUUUGAUAUCGAGCAUUACGAGACUUUUUAAGAUCGUUGAAGGAUUCAAGCAUUAAGCUGCGUACGUGCUCAGAAGUGAAUUACUUCAAAAUCACUCAACCAACGAAGGAGCCAAUAAUCACUCGAGUCAUUCAGCUUCAUACAAAUCGAAAGAAAAUCUUUGUGCUCAACGCUGAAAAUUGGCAUGGGCCAUGGAUUGUGACGCCUUAUACAUUUGUAACGCACAAGAUUUUUAACACGACGCCAAUCCAUUACUUCGUUGUCACUAGAAUCGUUUAAUACGAACAAAUAAACGGAAGGCGAUUUUUCAAAUCUCAGUAUUUGACCUCACCGCUGAUAUCUUCGUUGUGAAUGAUACAGGUUUAUAUAUAUAUAUAUAUAUACACAAAUAUAUAUACACAUAGUAUAUUUAAAACGCAGAAAGGAAAGAGGGAUCUCUACUGAUGAAUGGGAAGAAUAAGAAUGCGACGAGGAGAAUGAGAUUCUCCGGUCGCGCGGAGAGUAGCAGAAAAACAAAAAUCUUAGAAACUUUAGCCUGUAAGAAUUACUGCCGCACAUAUUGAAGAUGUGAUACGUAAAUCGUAAGCCAGCUUAUGCGACGAUCGUUCGAAUCGAUAUUACCGUUUGUGGCUGAAUAUGCGAGUUGUCCGAAAAUAAAAAUAAAUAACAAAAAAAUUCAAUGAAGUAAAUUCGUAUUUAAGAAGCUCUACGAAUAAAAACGAGGUGAAACGUACGCACAAAAAGUAAAUUAGCAACGAGCGAUACAAAACUGCAGUCUGAUGCGCGUUUACGAGUGAAGUUGGAUAAUAUAAUCAUCCACCAAUUGUGAUGAUUGAACUUCAGUAACUGAGUAUAACGAUCGGUAACGAUUGAACAGUUAGGCCUGCUAAGUUUUGCAUAUUUUUCAACGCUUAAAACAAGUUUUGUAAUCAAGGUGCUUUUCUAUACGGACAUUUACACUGUGACGUUCACUUUACGAUACUGAAAAAUAAUUGAAUGCAUGUGUAUAUCGAUUUAUACGCAUAUAUAUAUAUAUGUUCACAACCCUGUCACCCUCCUAAAAUCCAGUAAUUAAUGUAAUCUCGUAUGUUACGUCGUACAUUUGAUGCCCGAUGAGGCCGGAGCGAUGCUAGAAUUAACUUACGAUAUACGUGGACCUCAAUGUACGUUGUAAUCUUCUUUGGGUUUUUUUGUUCGUUUUCGUUUUUUUUUUUGUUUCAUUUUCAUUACUUCUCUAACGCAUGUGAUUCGAAUUAUCGGAUCUGCAAUUACUUCAUCCGCUAUCAUCGAUAACUCAGAUCUCGUCAAUGCCAUUUUUUGAUAACGAUAUACAUGUAUGAAAAAAAAAUGUGAAAUAACAAAACUCUACAGAAAGGGAAACGUUGUUCUUAAGCAUUUCAAUAACGAAGCGGAUAAAAUUCUUCAAUUUCUCACGCACCAGCCCGAGGAGCGACAGUCUUUGUAUCACAAUUUUUAUCGACACGAUUCGCUUCAGCUCGUCAACGAAAAGUCCAAGGGCAUAUUGUACUUUUCUGGUUGUUUUUUUUUUUUUUUUUUUUUGGAACAAUGUAAUUUUGAGUUGUACAAGCUUCCUGAAAAUCAUUGUUUCGAAAAAAUGUCGUACGACAACAAAAAAAAUCAUUUAUGGCAACUAAAAAUUUCUGGCAUUUAUGGCCACUAGGCAGGGAUACGAAUUCUCGAUUUGUAAAACUAAAAGGAAAUUCACUAACGAAGACAUUCGGAAAUUAUGAAAUUCGAAUCCACACGGAUACACAUAAUAAAAAUGCGCGUUAAUACAAAUAUACCACACAACGUAUGUCGAAGAUGUUUUUGUAUGAAUAUUAUGUAGAAAAAGUCUUAAUCGCGUAAAUCAUUGUGACUAGAUAGUUUACAAUUUCAACUCAUCAUGUCUACCCUGUUGAUCUGCAAUAUUGUUAAUAUUGGUCACAUUAUCGAGUAAGAUCGAGGUUGACAGAUGCAUUUUCAUUAUUAUAAAAAAUCACUGCGAGUUCAUGGAUUAUCAGUUGCGCGAAUGUCAAUGUAUUUAAGGCGAUCGAUUAUUCGGAUCGGGGAUUGAAUUUUUCAAAGUGAGCUGUUAUUGGCCGUAAGUGAAUGAAGGAAAAGAAAUUUGUCGAAAUUCGAAAAACGAAAUUUAGGUAAUUAAUGAGUUCACGUCCGCUCUUUGCCAUUGAGCAGACGAUUAGUGCAAUUGGCAAAAUAAUCGAGUUGAUCGAAAUUCUAUUUGAUCGAUAGUAAACGACAUAUUUUUAUUAUCAUUUACGUUCAAGAGAGAGAAAGAGAGAGAGAGAGAGAGAGAGCGAUUAAAAUUGAGAUGAAAUCCUUACUGUCCUAAGUUGUACGUAUGAUUAUGUAAAUAUUGUAACGAAUGGUACUACGAAGAAAGGAACAAACAUUACUAUUGAAUAAUAUUGCGAUGGAUUAAUAUAAACACACUAUUUAUAAAUAAUAGCGAAGAAUUGAUUUUCAUUGAAAUUAUAUAUGAUUUCCGUUGAGUACGAACGACGAUCACACUAACGCAGUGAUCCUUUUUAUAUUAAAAUUUCAACAAAUACUUUCGAUCGACUAAAUUAUGAGUAAAAAAAAAAUAAAUGAAAAUUGAAAAGAAAUUUAAAGUGCUUUCAUUUGUAUCCCGAGCGAAUCAAAUGUUUUUUUUUUUUUUUUUAAAUAUAUUUUUCAUCCUCUAAUUCAGCUUGUAUACAAUUUCUCUAAAAUGAAUAUUCACGGAUAAACACUUUGACUGGGCAUAGAUUCUCACGAGUUUAUUCAGCUCACCGAAUCCCGUUGAAUUUAGGGAAUCGUGACAAUAAUUAUCUUUUUUUUCACGUGGCUCGUCCACGACGAUCAAUAUCGGACAAAAUUCAAAAGCGUUCAGUGUCAUUCGAAGGAAAUAAAGCUACACGCGCAAUAGUUGAAUUACUAUUGGGUACGUCAUAUUUCAUGUUUUUAUGUAAAUAAAUUUUUCGUAUAUUUCAA